AAGAUUAAGCCAUGCAUGUCUAAGUAUAAGCAAUUAUACCGUGAAACUGCGAAUGGCUCAUUAAAUCAGUUAUCGUUUAUUUGAUAGUACCUUACUACUUGGAUAACCGUGGUAAUUCUAGAGCUAAUACAUGCUAAAAACCCCGACUUCGGGAGGGGUGUAUUUAUUAGAUAAAAACCAAUGCCCUUCGGGGCUCUUUGGUGAUUCAUGAUAACUUAACGGAUCGCAU
RNAcentral lists this ribosomal RNA (229 nucleotides) under uncultured fungus. RNAcentral describes it as "partial 18S ribosomal RNA". It matches the Rfam family "Eukaryotic small subunit ribosomal RNA", at positions 40 to 274 of the family's 1831-position model. Lineage: Eukaryota; Fungi. The record is from RNAcentral.